GCCCGGAUGGUGGAAUCGGUAGACACAAGGGAUUUAAAAUCCCUCGGCGUUCGCGCUGUGYGGGUUCAAGUCCCRCUCCGGGUACCA
Molecule: transfer RNA, 87 nt
Filed under: Klebsiella pneumoniae
Lineage: Bacteria; Pseudomonadati; Pseudomonadota; Gammaproteobacteria; Enterobacterales; Enterobacteriaceae
Description: tRNA-Leu
Rfam family: tRNA
About the family: Transfer RNA (tRNA) molecules are approximately 80 nucleotides in length. Their secondary structure includes four short double-helical elements and three loops (D, anti-codon, and T loops).
Source: RNAcentral